AGGGGCUCUGUGCUAGACUGGGACUCAAAUGCUGGGAUGGUAUAUGGUAAUAAAACCUCCCAGGAAGUAUCCUGUGGCCAUUGAAUUCAAUGAUGAUACAUUCUAACAACUAAUACCUGUCACCGAGUUUCUCUGUUAUUGUCACCAUGAAGCUGGCAAGAGCUUCUCAUAGAUUACAUCCAACUGAAAGCCAAUGGAUAUGGGAGCUGUGUGGAUGUAGUCGUUAGCUUCCAAGAAGAGAGGGCAAGAAGUCAGAGGAAAAUGGCUUUAAAGGAACAGAGACAAGAAAACUAAUUUAAUACGUUGUCAUUUACCCAACCACAUGCUUCUUGAUUUAUCUGGUUUCCUAUCUCUUUAACUUUUUAGAAAAGUGGAUAAUAUUCAUCACAUCUUUGUCAACAGUUCGUUGUACAUUUAAUUCAAUGUAGUUACAUUUGGAUAUGUUUAUGAAUAUUUUAUGUUCUUUCUUGUAAUUAAUAGUAAAAUGGUGUGUCAAGUUUGUUUCUGGAAAGAACAGUAAAAUCUCACAAAAAUUU
This is a non-coding RNA of Ictidomys tridecemlineatus (thirteen-lined ground squirrel), 536 nucleotides long. The record is from RefSeq and is a predicted model, not a curated record. NCBI's taxonomy places the organism in Eukaryota, Metazoa, Chordata, Mammalia, Rodentia, Sciuridae.